UUCGAUCCUGGCUCAGAUUGAACGCUGGCGGGAUCGCUACACAUGCAAGUCCAGAACUGGCAGCACGGACUUCGGUCUGGUGGCGAGUGGCGAACGGGUGAGUAAUGUAUCGGAACGUGCCUAGUAGCGGGGAUACUACGCGAAAGCGUAGCUAUCUACCAUACGCCCUUCGGGGGAAAGCGGGGGACCUUCGGGCCUCGCACUAUUAGAGCGGCCGAUAUCGGAUUAGCUAGUUGGUGGGGUAACGGCUCACCAAGGCGACGAUCCGUAGCUGGUUUGAGAGGACGACCAGCCUUCCACACUGGGACUGAGACGCGGCCCGUUUUCCUACACGGAGAACCAGCAGUGGGGAAUUUUGGACAAUGGGGAAACCCUGAUCCAGCCAUCCGCGUGUACGAUGAAGGCCUUCGGGUUGUAAGCACUUUGGCAGGAAAGAAACAGCGCAGGAUAAUACCCCGUGCAACUGACGAAACACCUGCAGAAUAAGCACCGGCUAACUGCGUGCCAGCAGCCGCGGUAAUACGUAGGGUGCAAGCGUUAAUCGGAAUUACUGGGCGUAAAGCGUGCGCAGGCGGUUCGGAAGAAAGAUGUAAGGAAAAUCCCAGAGCUUAACUUUGGAACUGCAUUUUUAACUACCGAGCUAGAGUGUGUCAGAGGAGGUGGAAUUCCGCGUGUAGCAGUGAAAUGCGUAGAUAUGCGGAGGAACACCGAUGGCGAAGGCAACCUCCUGGGUGCUGCUGACGCUCAUGCACGAAAGCGUGGGGAGCAAACAGGAUUAGAUACCCUGGUAGUCCACGCCCUAAGCGGUAUGUCAACUGGCUGUUACGGGGCCUUCGGGCCUUGGUAGCGCAGCUAACGCGUGAAGUUGACCGCCUGGGGAGUACGGUCGCAAGAUUAAAACUCAAAGGAAUUGACGGGGACCCACACAAGCGGUGGAUGAUGUGGAUUAAUUCGAUGCAACGCGAAAAACCUUACCUACCCUUGACAUGUCUGGAAUCCCGAAGAAGAUUUGGAGUGCUCGCAAGAGAACCGGAACACAGGUGCUGCAUGGCUGUCGCGUCGGCUCGUGUCGUGAGAUGUUGGGUUAAGUCCGCAACGAGCACAACCCUUGUCGUUAGUUGCUACGAAAGGGCACUCUAAUGAGACUGCCGGUGACAAACCGGAGGGAAGGUGGGGAUGACGUCAAGUCCUCAUGGCCCUUAUGGGUAGGGCUUCACACGUCAUACAAUGGUCGGGACGGUCGCCAACCCGCGAAGAGAAUAAUCCCGAAACCCGAUCGUAGUCCGGAUGUGAUCUGCAGCUAGGCUGCGUGAAGUCGGAAUGUCGUCGCGGAUCGGCAUGUCGCGGUGGGCCGUUCCCGGGUCUUGUACACGCCGUCACACCAUGGGAGUGGGUUUACCCGGAAGCCAGAUUCGCCUAACCGUAAGGAGGGCGAUUACCACGGUAGGAUUCAUGACUGGGGUGAAGUCAUAGCUCGACAA
RNAcentral lists this ribosomal RNA (1481 nucleotides) under uncultured Bordetella sp. RNAcentral describes it as "partial 16S-23S ribosomal RNA intergenic spacer". It matches the Rfam family "Bacterial small subunit ribosomal RNA". Lineage: Bacteria; Pseudomonadati; Pseudomonadota; Betaproteobacteria; Burkholderiales; Alcaligenaceae. The record is from RNAcentral.